CAGCCGCCACGGUAAUACGUAGGGUGCAAGCGUUAAUCGGAAUUACUGGGCGUAAAGCGUGCGCAGGCGGUUUUGUAAGACAGAGGUGAAAUCCCCGGGCUCAACCUGGGAACUGCCUUUGUGACUGCAAGGCUAGAGUACGGCAGAGGGGGAUGGAAUUCCGCGUGUAGCAGUGAAAUGCGUAGAUAUGCGGAGGAACACCGAUGGCGAAGGCAAUCCCCUGGGCCUGUACUGACGCUCAUGCACGAAAGCGUGGGGAGCAAACAGGAUUAGAUACCCGUGUAGUCCCUGUCUCUUAUAC
Molecule: ribosomal RNA, 301 nt
Filed under: uncultured bacterium
Lineage: Bacteria
Description: partial 16S ribosomal RNA
Rfam family: Bacterial small subunit ribosomal RNA
Source: RNAcentral